AUUGAACGCUGGCGGCAUGCCUUACACAUGCCAGUCGAACGGUAACGGGCCUUCGGGUGCCGACGAGUGGCGCACGGGUGAGUAAUACAUCGGAACGUGCCCGAUCGUGGGGGAUAACGAGGCGAAAGCUUUGCUAAUACCGCAUACGAUCUACGGAUGAAAGCAGGGGACCGCAAGGCCUUGCGCGGACGGAGCGGCCGAUGGCAGAUUAGGUAGUUGGUGGGAUAAAAGCUUACCAAGCCGACGAUCUGUAGCUGGUCUGAGAGGAUGAUCAGCCACACUGGGACUGAGACACGGCCCAGACUCCUACGGGAGGCAGCAGUGGGGAAUUUUGGACAAUGGGCGCAAGCCUGAUCCAGCCAUGCCGCGUGCAGGAUGAAGGCCUUCGGGUUGUAAACUGCUUUUGUACGGAACGAAAAGCCUUCUUUUAAUACAGGAGGGUCAUGACGGUACCGUAAGAAUAAGCACCGGCUAACUACGUG
Molecule: ribosomal RNA, 482 nt
Filed under: uncultured bacterium
Lineage: Bacteria
Description: partial 16S ribosomal RNA
Rfam family: Bacterial small subunit ribosomal RNA
Source: RNAcentral